AACUCCUACGGGAGGCAGCAGUAGGGAAUCUUCCACAAUGGACGCAAGUCUGAUGGAGCAACGCCGCGUGAGUGAAGAAGGUUUUCGGAUCGUAAAGCUCUGUUGUUGGUGAAGAAAGAUAGUGAGAGUAACUGCUCAUUAUUUGCCGGUAAUCAACCAGAAAGUCACGGCUAACUACGUGCCAGCAGCCGCGGUAAUU
This 199-nucleotide ribosomal RNA is filed under the name uncultured bacterium. Its description in RNAcentral is "partial 16S ribosomal RNA". It matches the Rfam family "Bacterial small subunit ribosomal RNA", at positions 334 to 525 of the family's 1533-position model. The record is from RNAcentral.